CGGGACAUAGCUCAGCUUGGUAGAGCACUGCGUUCGGGACGCAGGGGUCGCAAGUUCAAAUCUUGUUGUCCCGAUCA
RNAcentral lists this transfer RNA (77 nucleotides) under Furfurilactobacillus rossiae. Its description in RNAcentral is "tRNA-Pro". It matches the Rfam family "tRNA". From Rfam's summary of the family: Transfer RNA (tRNA) molecules are approximately 80 nucleotides in length. Their secondary structure includes four short double-helical elements and three loops (D, anti-codon, and T loops). The record is from RNAcentral. Lineage: Bacteria; Bacillati; Bacillota; Bacilli; Lactobacillales; Lactobacillaceae.